AGUGAACGCUGGCGGUAUGCCUAAUACAUGCAAGUCGAACGAAAGCACAGGAAGAGUGUGCCCCUACCGGUGGCGACUGGCGGAUGGGUGACGCAUACAUAGGCUACUAAUAUUACGUGGGGGACAACGUAGGGAAACUUAUGCUAACACCGAAUACAUCCAACGGGAGAAAGCAGUGGGUCAUCAGAGUUUGCGCGAUUGAUAGAGACGGUGCCGGAUUAGCUAGUUGGCGUGGUAAAGGCCCACCAAGGCAACGAUCCGUAGCUGGUCUGAGAGGAUGAUCGGCCACACUGGAACUGAGACACGGUCCAGACUCCUACGGGAGGCAGCAGUAGGGAAUAUUGGGCAAUGGGCGCAAGCCUGAUCCAGCCAUGCCGCGUGGGUGAAGAAGGCCUUCGGAUUGUAAAACCCUUUUAUUAGGAAAGAAAAACUGCGUAAUUAACUACCGCUGUUCUGACGGUACCCAAAGAGAAAGCCCCGGCUAACUUCGUG
RNAcentral lists this ribosomal RNA (492 nucleotides) under uncultured bacterium. RNAcentral's name for it is "partial 16S ribosomal RNA". It matches the Rfam family "Bacterial small subunit ribosomal RNA", at positions 29 to 507 of the family's 1533-position model. The record is from RNAcentral.